GAUUGAACGCUGGCGGUAUGCUUAACACAUGCAAGUCGAACGGAAACGAUACUAGCUUGCUAGUAGGCGUCGAGUGGCGGACGGGUGAGUAACGCGUAGGAAUCUGCCUGAUAGUGGGGGAUAGCCCGAAGAAAUUCGGAUUAAUACCGCAUAAUCUAUUCGUAGUAAAGUGGGGGACUUUCGAGCCUCACGCUAUCAGAUGAGCCUGCGUAAGAUUAGCUUGUUGGUAGGGUAAAAGCCUACCAAGGCGACGAUCUUUAGCUGGUCUGAGAGGAUGAUCAGCCACAUCGGGACUGAGACACGGCCCGAACUCCUACGGGAGGCAGCAGUGGGGAAUAUUGGACAAUGGGGGCAACCCUGAUCCAGCAAUACCGCGUGUGUGAAGAAGGCCUGAGGGUUGUAAAGCACUUUCAAUUGUGAAGAAAAGUUAGCGGUUAAUAACCGUUAGCCUUGACGUUAACUUUAGAAGAAGCACCGGCUAACUCCGUGCCAGCAGCCGCGGUAAUACGGAGGGUGCAAGCGUUAAUCGGAAUUACUGGGCGUAAAGCGUGCGUAGGCGGUUUAUUAAGUCAGAUGUGAAAGCCCCGGGCUUAACCUGGGAACUGCAUUUGAAACUGGUCAACUAGAGUAUGGUAGAGGAAAGUGGAAUUUCUGGUGUAGCGGUGAAAUGCGUAGAUAUCAGAAGGAACAUCAAUGGCGAAGGCAGCUUUCUGGACCAAUACUGACGCUGAGGUACGAAAGCGUGGGUAGCAAACAGGAUUAGAUACCCUGGUAGUCCACGCCGUAAACGAUGAUAACUAGCCGUUGGGGGGAUUUACCCUUUAGUGGCGAAGCUAACGCGUUAAGUUAUCCGCCUGGGGAGUACGGCCGCAAGGUUAAAACUCAAAGGAAUUGACGGGGACCCGCACAAGCGGUGGAGCAUGUGGUUUAAUUCGAUGCAACGCGAAGAACCUUACCUGGUCUUGACAUCCUGCGAACUUUCUAGAAAUAGAUUGGUGCCUUCGGGAACGCAGUGACAGGUGCUGCAUGGCUGUCGUCAGCUCGUGUCGUGAGAUGUUGGGUUAAGUCCCGUAACGAGCGCAACCCCUAUCCUUAUUUGCCAGCACAUCAUGGUGGGAACUAUAAGGAGACUGCCGGUGAUAAACCGGAGGAAGGCGGGGACGACGUCAAGUCAUCAUGGCCCUUACGACCAGGGCUACACACGUGCUACAAUGGAAAGGACAAAGAGCCGCGAAGCCGCGAGGUGUAGCUAAUCUCAUAAACCUUUUCGUAGUCCGGAUUGGAGUCUGCAACUCGACUCCAUGAAGUCGGAAUCGCUAGUAAUCGUAGAUCAGAAUGCUACGGUGAAUACGUUCCCGGGUCUUGUACACACCGCCCGUCAA
RNAcentral lists this ribosomal RNA (1382 nucleotides) under uncultured bacterium. RNAcentral's name for it is "bacterial SSU rRNA". It matches the Rfam family "Bacterial small subunit ribosomal RNA", at positions 27 to 1400 of the family's 1533-position model. The record is from RNAcentral.